CAUAAAGUAGAGCACACACCGUGACUCCAG
RNAcentral lists this non-coding RNA (30 nucleotides) under Mus musculus (house mouse). Lineage: Eukaryota; Metazoa; Chordata; Mammalia; Rodentia; Muridae. The record is from RNAcentral.